AAGUCCCCAUCGGGCAAAGCUUAACCAGCAGCCCGUACCGAGUGUUGCGCCUGUGGCGGAGCCAUGCAGUAUAUGGUGAACAAUACAGGUGAAGCGUACACAGGGAACACUGUAGGCCGCAGGGGAGACGUACCUCCCUCAAGCGAUUCAGCCCCGUUAGGAGAAUCAAUGCAGUUGGCGACGGUUUUAACGUGCCGGAAGCCAGUACACAGGGAUCGUGUUGGUGAGAUCCUGAGGGACUGCCGGGGUCCGAGAGC
This 257-nucleotide non-coding RNA is filed under the name marine sediment metagenome. The record is from RNAcentral. RNAcentral also lists the same sequence under 1 other name.